MicroRNA precursor from Cricetulus griseus (Chinese hamster), 101 nucleotides. The record is from Ensembl. NCBI's taxonomy places the organism in Eukaryota, Metazoa, Chordata, Mammalia, Rodentia, Cricetidae.
GGGGGCGGGAUGACAGCAGGAAAACCUAUCAGAUAGUUUGUUCAUAAUCCUUCUCUCUCAACAGCACUUAGUGUCCAUGUUUUCGAUCUGUCAUCCUGCAG